RNA transcript from Artibeus jamaicensis (Jamaican fruit-eating bat), 1343 nucleotides. It is a transcript of the gene named serine peptidase inhibitor, Kunitz type 4, with no coding region annotated. The transcript is spliced from 4 exons. NCBI's taxonomy places the organism in Eukaryota, Metazoa, Chordata, Mammalia, Chiroptera, Phyllostomidae. The record is from RefSeq and is a predicted model, not a curated record.
CAGUCCUGGCCCUGGGGGUAAAUGGGCUCAGCUCCCUCCAGUAUCCAGCACAAGCUAUAACAUCGGUUGAUAUCAAGACUCUCCUACCUGCUGCUUGCUGUACCAUGAAGCCUGCUGAGCUGAGAUUCCUUCUAGGGCUCCUCAUCUUCUUCUUGCAGACUAUGCCAUUAUUGGGUGGUGUUGAUCGACUUUCUGGAAGGAUAUGUGCAGAUCUCAAAGAUGCCUGCAAAAUGGACCUGGACACGGGCAGCUGCUAUGAAGUCCACUUAAGAUAUUUCUACAACAAAACAUCCAGACGGUGCCAGAGUUUUGUCUUCAGUGGCUGCAAUGGCAACCUUAACAACUACAAGCUUAAAAUAGAAUGUCAAAUAGAAUGUGAAGAAGCAUACAUCAUACCGGGCCAUCUAAGGCCAGCCAACCCGUAGCGGAAUACAAAGUCGGAUUCGGAUGUUGACUGAUCCACCACCUGAAGACAGACAUAAGAAAAUUCAGACAAAUUUUAUGAUCUCGGAGAAUUUCCACUGAGGCUGUAAGAGUGGAUUAAGAAGUCUGUAACAACACAGUGGAAAGAGAGGCUCAACUAGGAGUGAACUGUACAUGCAAUGAAAUUGCCUGGCCCGCUGCAAACUGCUUGUUCUGUUAAUGCUCCACCACUGGGCACACGGGUGCCUCGAGCAUUUCUCAAGAACCUUCCAUCAUGAGUUUACUACCAGACGGAGCAGAAAAGGCCAUAGCAAAUAAAUAAAUAAAUAAAUGAAGGAAAGUUAAUGACCCUCAGAGUUUCCCACCUCACAUGUCUUUCAUCUCAAGUUUUAUGCUCUGUGCCUUCCACUGAAAUAGAACAACUCACUUGCUCUGCCCCAGGGACAUGGGGUGCAGGACGUUCUCCGCUGUAUUUGUGCAUGACGACAGAGACCCUUCGUGCAGAACAUCAAGGUGCCCAGCAUCCUGGGAGACAUUCAGUCAACUCGUCGUAGCCUCAGUCCUCAUCCAUUCAGUUGUGCUCACUUCUGCUGAUUCUUCUUGCUGGCAGCUGGGUUGGUUAGCAGGUAAAACAAGAAGGUAGACUCUGCUGGAACCAUCAGAGCAAGGCACACCCAGACUCCUUUCCACCUGGCCUGACAAGGAGCGAUGAACAUCAGGAACAGAAACAUUCACGGAUAAACCAAACAGAAAAUCCAGAAAUGGGUCCGAGUGUAAUUAAGAACAUGAUGAAGUUAGCAUUUCAAAUCAAAGCGAAUUUUUAUGUAUUCUUUUUAAAAUAUAUUUUAUUGAUUAUGCCAUUAUAGUUGUUCUAUUCCCCCCUUCAUUCCCCUCCACCCUGCACACUUCCUCCCCCACCA